CAAAGGUUUGGUCCUGGCCUUAUUAUUAGUUAUAGGUAGACUUACACAUGCUAGACUCCACACACCAGUGAAGAAUCCCAUGAAAUCACCUACUAAGUGAUCAAAAGGAGAUGGUAUCAAGCACACUAAAGUAGCUAAAGACACCUUGCUAAGCCACACCCCCACGGGAAACAGCAGUGAUAAAAAUUAAGCAAUGAACGAAAGUUUGACUUAGCCAUACCAAUAAGGGUUGGUAAAUUUCGUGCCAGCCACCGCGGUCAUACGAUUGACCCAAACUAAUAAUCAACCGGCGUAAAGCGUGUACAUAGAAUUAAACAAAUAGGAUAGAAAAUUACCAAUAAUGUAGAAAUUUCAUGGUAUAAAUAAUUACAAUAACGAAAGUAAUCCUAACCAUCUUGACUACACGAUAGCUAAGACACAAACUGGGAUUAGAUACCCCACUAUGCUUAGCCCUAAACAUAAGUAAUUCAAAAACAAAAUUAUUCGCCAGAGAACUACUAGCCACAGCUUAAAACUCAAAGGACUUGGCGGUACUUUAUAUCUGCCUAGAGGAGCUUGUUCUAUAAUCGAUAAACCCCGUUACACCUUACCACCCCUUGCUAAUUCAGCCUAUAUACCGCCAUCUUCAGCAAACCCUGUCAAGGACAAACAGUGAGCUCAAUGAUAAUCGUAAAUACGUUAGGUCAAGGUGUAGCCAAUGAGGUGGAAAGCAAUGAGCUACAUUUUCUACAUAAGAAAAUUACGGAGCCCUCUAUGAAACUAGGGGGUGAAGGAGGAUUUAGUAGUAAAUUAAGAAUAGAGAGCUUAAUUGAACUCAGCAAUGAAGUACGCACACACCGCCCGUCACUCUCCUCAAGCUACUAAAAUUGAAACUAUUUUUUUUAUAACUCAAUAAUAAAUAUUAGAGGAGACAAGUCGUAACAAGGUAAGCAUACUGGAAAGUGUGCUUGGCAAAACCCC
This 960-nucleotide non-coding RNA is filed under the name Nannospalax ehrenbergi (Ehrenberg's mole-rat). RNAcentral describes it as "12S ribosomal RNA". It matches the Rfam family "Bacterial small subunit ribosomal RNA". Lineage: Eukaryota; Metazoa; Chordata; Mammalia; Rodentia; Spalacidae. The record is from RNAcentral.